UACGUAGGGUGCAAGCGUUAAUCGGAAUUACUGGGCGUAAAGCGUGCGUAGGCGGUUUGUUAAGUCUGUUGUGAAAGCCCCGGGCUCAACCUGGGAAUGGCAAUGGAACGUGCGAGCUAGAGUACGGUAGAGGAGAGUGGAGUUCCCCGGUGUAGCGGUGGAAUGCGUAGAGAUCCGGAAGAACACCGGUGGCGAAGGCGGCCUGCGUGGGCUAUGGCUGACACUGGAGGCGCGACAGCGUGGGAGCAAACA
Molecule: ribosomal RNA, 252 nt
Filed under: uncultured bacterium
Lineage: Bacteria
Description: partial 16S ribosomal RNA
Rfam family: Bacterial small subunit ribosomal RNA
Source: RNAcentral